This 336-nucleotide long non-coding RNA is filed under the name Populus tremula. Its description in RNAcentral is "long non-coding RNA (PTRE_LNC001027)". Lineage: Eukaryota; Viridiplantae; Streptophyta; Magnoliopsida; Malpighiales; Salicaceae. The record is from RNAcentral.
GAUUUUGGUUCUGGUUGAAGGGGAUCGGCGAAGGGAUCUCAGUUCAGCCCAACCCUACACACACCUUGGUUAUGGUUAAAGGGGAUCGACGAAGAGAUCUAAGUUUAACCUAAUUGGAAAGGAUUUGAUUUUGGUUCUGGUUGAAGGGGAUCGGCGAAGGGAUCUCAGUUCAGCCCAACCCUACACACACCUUGGUUAUGGUUAAAGGGGAUCGACGAAGAAAUCUCAGUUUAACCUAAUUGGAAAGGAUUUGAUUUUGGUUCUGGUUGAAGGGGAUCGGCGAAGGGAUCUCAGUUCAGCUCAACCACACAAACCUUGGUUAUGGUAAAAGGGGAU